UGGGGAAUUUUGGACAAUGGGGGAAACCCUGAUCCAGCCAUCCCGCGUGUGCGAUGAAGGCCUUCGGGUUGUAAAGCACUUUUGGCAGGAAAGAAACGUCGCGGGUUAAUACCCCGCGAAACUGACGGUACCUGCAGAAUAAGCACCGGCUAACUACGUGCCAGCAGCCGCGGUAAUACGUAGGGUGCAAGCGUUAAUCGGAAUUACUGGGCGUAAAGCGUGCGCAGGCGGUUCGGAAAGAAAGAUGUGAAAUCCCAGAGCUUAACUUUGGAACUGCAUUUUUAACUACCGGGCUAGAGUGUGUCAGAGGGAGGUGGAAUUCCGCGUGUAGCAGUGAAAUGCGUAGAUAUGCGGAGGAACACCGAUGGCGAAGGCAGCCUCCUGGGAUAACACUGACGCUCAUGCACGAAAGCGUGGGGAGCAAACAGGAUUAGAUACCCUGGUAGUCCACGCCCUAAACGAUGUCAACUAGCUGUUGGGGCCUUCGGGCCUUGGUAGCGCAGCUAACGCGUGAAGUUG
This 519-nucleotide ribosomal RNA is filed under the name uncultured bacterium. RNAcentral's name for it is "partial 16S ribosomal RNA". It matches the Rfam family "Bacterial small subunit ribosomal RNA", at positions 355 to 867 of the family's 1533-position model. The record is from RNAcentral.